This 803-nucleotide ribosomal RNA is filed under the name Pseudopithomyces maydicus. Its description in RNAcentral is "partial large subunit ribosomal RNA". It matches the Rfam family "Eukaryotic large subunit ribosomal RNA", at positions 91 to 909 of the family's 3401-position model. Lineage: Eukaryota; Fungi; Ascomycota; Dothideomycetes; Pleosporales; Didymosphaeriaceae. The record is from RNAcentral.
GAGUGAAGCGGCUACAGCUCAAAUUUGAAAAUCUGGCCUCCUUUGGUGGUCCGAGUUGUAAUUUGCAGAGGAUGCUUUGGCAUUGGCGGCGGUCUAAGUUCCUUGGAACAGGACAUCGCAGAGGGUGAGAAUCCCGUACGUGGGCGCCUGCCUUUGCCGUGUAAAGCUCCUUCGACGAGUCGAGUUGUUUGGGAAUGCAGCUCUAAAUGGGAGGUAAAUUUCUCCUAAAGCUAAAUACCGGCCAGAGACCGAUAGCGCACAAGUAGAGUGAUCGAAAGAUGAAAAGUACUUUGGAAAGAGAGUCAAAUAGCACGUGAAAUUGUUGAAAGGGAAGCGCUUGCAGCCAGACUUGCCCGCAGUUGCUCACCCAGGCUCUCGCCUGGGGCACUCUUCUGCGGGCAGGCCAGCAUCAGUUUGGGCGGUCGGAUAAAGGCUCCUGUCAUGUACCACCCCUCGGGGUGGCCUUAUAGGGGGGGCGUAAUGCGACCAGCCCGGACUGAGGUCCGCGCAUCUGCUAGGAUGCUGGCGUAAUGGCUGUAAGCGGCCCGUCUUGAAACACGGACCAAGGAGUCUAACAUCUAUGCGAGUGUUUGGGUGUCAAGCCCGGGCGCGCAAUGAAAGUGAACGGAGGUGGGAACCUUUCGGGGUGCACCAUCGACCGAUCCUGAUGUCUUCGGAUGGAUUUGAGUAAGAGCAUAGCUGUUGGGACCCGAAAGAUGGUGAACUAUGCUUGAAUAGGGUGAAGCCAGAGGAAACUCUGGUGGAGGCUCGCAGCGGUUCUGACGUGCAAAUCGAUCGUCAAA